UACGAAGGGGGCUAGCGUUGCUCGGAAUCACUGGGCGUAAAGGGUGCGUAGGCGGGGCUUUAAGUCAGGGGGGAAAUCCUGGAGCUCAACUCCAGAACUGCCUUUGAUACUGAAGAUCUUGAGUUCGGGAGAGGUGAGUGGAACUGCGAGUGUAGAGGUGAAAUUCGUAGAUAUUCGCAAGAACACCAGUGGCGACGGCGGCUCACUGGCCCGAUACUGACGCUGAGGCACGAAAGCGUGGGGAGCAAACAGG
This 253-nucleotide ribosomal RNA is filed under the name uncultured bacterium. RNAcentral's name for it is "partial 16S ribosomal RNA". It matches the Rfam family "Bacterial small subunit ribosomal RNA", at positions 524 to 776 of the family's 1533-position model. The record is from RNAcentral.